RNAcentral lists this long non-coding RNA (20909 nucleotides) under Populus tremula. RNAcentral's name for it is "long non-coding RNA (PTRE_LNC003086)". The record is from RNAcentral. Lineage: Eukaryota; Viridiplantae; Streptophyta; Magnoliopsida; Malpighiales; Salicaceae.
UUGAGUGCACUAAGCCAUUGUUCCAUGAAGAAUAGACUUGUAUUUAGUAAUGUAAGAAUUUGAUCCAAACUAUUGUACCAUGAAGAAAAUUUGAGCAUGUCAUUGAUGAAUUCUCGAGAGCUAUAUAUAUCAACCGAACCCAAUAUUCAAAAUAAACCAAGUUCCACAGAAACCUGUCCUAAUGAGAGAGAACAUCCUGACAAAGCUCGAUCUAUUGAGCCACAGAAGUGGAAAAUAUUGAACCCUUGCACAGUAGUGUAAAGUUUCAGAACAGGUAUGGUCUUCGUUCCAGCCUUCUUGGGUUGGUAUGCCACUCCUCUCUCCUUGGGCUACAAGGCCCACCUCUCUCCUCUCUCCUCUGCUCACGUCCCUCCCUUGAUUCAUGCACAAAUUUGCAAUCGUGACCGUAAAAACAUCUUCCUUGAGCAAAGUAUCUGCAUAGCUGUCCCUCCCUUGAUUCAUGCACAAAUUUGCAAUUGUGUCCGUAAUGACAUCUUCCUUGAGCAAAGUAUCUGCAUAGCUGUAUCUGUUGGUCGCCGCCUUGUCCAUGUGGUGAUCUAAUUGGACUAGAGUUAUGAAUGCUUGCCAGUGGCUUUCUACAGAAGUUGGGAGACCUUGAACAAAAACCAUCCUGGAUGUCACUGUACUCGACUGAGUUUCCAGGAACUUGGCCGCGGUAAUCAUUUUCCCCUCGGUUUGCAUGAAGUGGAGGUUGUUCGCAGCCGUGUCUGUGUGGUGAUCCCAUUGGACGAUAGCUGUCAGCACAUUUCAAGGGUUGUCUCUGAUCCAUCCUUGACAAGCCAUUGUUUAAACUUGUGCGGGGAUUUAACUGAGAGCGACUCUUGUUUGUCUCUUCCUUUUUCAAGGCCCUGAAGUACAGAGGACUUCAGCAUGUUAACAUAGCUGAACAAGUCUACCAGAUAACAGGUAAGUUUUGAUUCACUGGAUUGCCUAUCAUUUUCAACAAUAUUCCACCAUGACAAUAAAUCAGAGUACCUUUCCACCCUGAGCAUUUUCCUCCCUUCCUUCUCCUGGAUCCUGGUUUCUCUGCUAGACCUGGCGAGAGAACCUCUUGAGUGUUUUUCGAGAAGAAUCUUGCGCCUUUCUAGGUAAUAAUUCUAGGUAUGAUAUACUUCUAGUAAUAAUUUAUGUCGUCUCUAUGAGCCAUUUGCUCAAUGGGGAAAAAUUAUUAUCUUCCAUCAUGAAGGACAAACUGUUGUUUGCCCUAAAAUAACUAAGGCUUAUCAUCGUGGUCAGCCUGGUUUCUUAGAUUCUCAAAAACAUGGUAGUCAUACCAAAGUUCCUGAACCCGAAAAUAUUGUUCAAAAUUUAGAUUUUGAUCAAAAAAGUCUGGGGGAGAGUAUCUGUACUUUCUCACCUUCUAAAGAUUUUUUAUUAAAUCUUAUGAGUUUAUCUACCAUUGAAGAUAAACUUAAGAUGGUUUGUAGUGACAACCCAUUAGAUAACAAUAUCUCUAAAUACAAUUUUAGAGCCCACAUAGAAUUAGUUGAUAAAACAACUAAAAUAAAGGUUCCACCUAUGCAGUACACUGCACCGGAUAGAGAAGAAUUUGCAAAACAAAUUCAGGAAUUAUUAGAUGCCAAUCUAAUAGAACCAAGUAAAUCUCCACACUUUAGUCCUGCCUUCUUAGUCAACAAACACUCAGAGCAGAAACGUGGAAAAAGACGUAUGGUAAUCAAUUAUAAAAAAUUGAAUGACCACACAAUAGGAGAUGGAUACCUUCUACCUAGAAAAGAUGAACUGUUAGAUCAGAUUCGUGGAAAAAAGCUAUUCUCCUCUUUUGACUGUAAAAGUGGAUUUUGGCAAGUACUGUUAGAUAACAGCUCACAAUCUUUAACUGCUUUCGCAUGCCCAUAAGGACACUUUCAGUGGAAAGUCAUGCCUUUCGGCUUAAAACAGGCCCCAUCCAUAUUCCAGAGACAUAUGGAUGAGACCUUCAAAGGAUUUGAAUCCUUUUGUCGUGUCUAUGUCGACAAUAUUAUUGUGUUCAGCAAUAAUGAUAAAGAUCACAUCACCCAUGUGACUAAAGUUCUAGAUAGAUGUAAAGAAAUAUGAGUCAUCCUAUCUUUACCCAAAGCUCAAUUAUUCAAAUAGGGUAUUAAUUUCCUCGGAUUAAUAAUUGACAAAGGACAAAUUAAGUUACAAAGUCACAUAGGUAAUCACCUUAGUGAAUUUGAUAGCAAGAUAACUGAUAAAAAACAGUUACAAAGAUUCUUAGGAAUUUUAAAUUAUAUUUCUAAUUUUUGUCCAAAGGUUGCACAGAUCCGCCAACCUCUACAGGCAAAAUUGAAGAAAGACACUGUUUGGCAAUGGUCAAAUGAAGAUACAACUUAUGUUGACAAAAUCAAAAAGGCAAUUAAACAUCUUCCACCUGUCCACCACCCUGGACCUGAUGAGCCUUUAAUUAUUGAGACUGAUGCCUCAGACAAAUAUUGGGGAGGAAUCCUUAAAUCAAAACCUCAGGAAGGACCUGAAUUAAUAUGUGGUUAUGCCAGCGGGACUUUUAAGCCAGCCGAGCAAAAUUACCAUAGCAAUGAAAAAGAGCUCCUCGCUCUUAUAAAUACCAUCAAACGGUUUCAAGUAUAUCUCAUCCCAGUGAGAUUUAAAGCAAUAACUGAUAAUAAACAUGUAUUCUUCUUUCUGAAUACUAACAUUACAGGUUCUUAUAAACAAGGAAGAUUAGUCAGGUGGCAACUCUGGCUACAAUACUUCGAUAUUGAGUUCGAACACGUUGAGGGCAUUAAUAACGUGUUUGCAGACGCUCUCUCACGAGAGUUAGGAGAAAUAUGUCGAGAUCAGACAUAGUAGAAGAUAUCAAUGACCUUGAUAUAAAGAUUGCCAAGACGGAGAAGAGGAUUCAGGAAAAGAAGCUCAAACUGGAGCGUCUCACUGAAAAAAGAAGUAAGUUAACUUCUAAACCUUUUAGUGCCGAAGGCCUUCUUGAAAGGUUUUCUGAAAAGAUGGCAGUCGCCAAGGCUACUACUGGACAGACUUCACAGUCUCCUUCCAGUUCAAAAGAUUUGGUUUUAAAACCAAAAAUCCUUGACCAAGGGAUCAAAAAGAUAGAGGAUGCUUAUAAGGCCUCUGAACCAUUCAAAGCGUUAGAAGCGCAAAAAUGUUAUGUUAUAUUUUCAGGACCCCGUGCUGGAGUCUACAAAGAAUGGGCGACAGUUCAACCCCUUGUAUCAGGUACGCCUUAUGCAUUUCAGGGCUAUAAGUCCUAUGAAUUGGCCCAAAAAGCCUUUACUGAUUAUUGUGUCCAACACAAUACACCCCUCCAAAGUGUUCCUAGACUCAUCACACCUGUUGAUGUUCCUAGACUCAUCACACCUUUGCUGAUAAAGCUAAAAUGCCUGCUAACCCAGUCACAAACAGAGCCUUUACUAGGUUCAACAAAAUUAGGAUACCAGACCCUGAUGACCAUGAAUUCAUCACUCUGGAAACCUUUGAUCAUUACUUUGCUCUUGCAGAGUCUACAUGUACUGAUGAACAAAAUCACUACUUCAUCAGUGAAACAAAAGGAUUACGUUUGUUUAACGUAACUAUAGGUGCUAGUCCAAAGUUUGUCCAAACUUUGUUUUAUUGUGGUCUGCUUAAUGCAGCCUAUCCUAGCCCUAACCUGAAGGAGAUCAGCCUCCUUCCCCAAAAGAUUCUGGUUGCAGUAAAACAUUACCGCCAGAAGGUCCUCCAGGACCCCGAAAUGAGAGUUUAUCUCUCUUUCAAAAGUUCUUUCCUUGAUUGGGAAGAGACAGAAGAUGAGACCGAUAGUCUCAGAAAUUACCCAGCAUAUCAUUACAUUAAAAUGGGUAUGCUCCGAAACAAAAUAGAUGUACAGCCAUGUACAGAAUCCAAGAACCCAACUCCCCAUCUACACCAAGCACUCCCGGAGUUAAGAGCACAAACAUUAGGAUUUGUGUUAAAAAAGAUUAGAACUUCACUUUAUGUGUAUUCUAAAGUCCGAAUUAAUUAUCAGAGCAAUCAUGUUCUGUUAGCAACCGACUCGUUGCAAACAAUCAGUGAAGAAGAUUGUCAAAGGAUACAGAAGUUUGAACGACAGUUCUACUGUAAUGAUCUUGGGAUCUCUGCAUCAACCAAGAGAAAAUUCUGUGCUUAUGGCACCGAAGAUCAUAAAUGUGACUUCUGUCCUGAAGACGAAAAAAUGGAGACCUGCUCCUCCAACAGUGGUGACGCACUGUCUGACGAUUCCUGCCAACCAGGAAAGAGAAGGAUAGCCGACGAGAUGUAACAGGCUACCUCAAUGUGGACCCUACCACGAUAAAAAAGGAACUAUUUGUAAUAAUUUAGUUUGUUUGUUAUUGACCCUCUCAGGCUAUAAAAAGCCUUGAUCUCUAUGUAAGAUCUUCAGACUAAUUCUGAAACCCUAAUGUAACAAAUUUUCCAUAUUCAAUAAAAGAAAUCCUUAACAGGAUUUGAAAGUUUUAAUAUAACAACUUUGUGUUGUUUAUCUUAAGUUCUUAAGAACUUCUAAAGUGUCUACCUGCAUUCUGUAAGUAGCCUACUACUUCAGUCGCCUGAAUAGCACCUGAAUAGCACAAGUAAGUCCCGUAUGAAGAUGAUGAGAAGGGCAGAAGUGUUGGUGUUGGCGCCGUAUAAUGACGAAAAGACAAGGGCAGUGUCUCAAACGACACAGUAAAGAAGAUUAUCCAGGUAUGGAUUCAAUAGUUGAUAAUAUCAUCAGUCAUUUUGACUGUUUAAGUUUAUAUUAUACUCCUACUCUUAGGAUGUUUAUAGAUAAAAUCCAAGCAAGGAUUGAUUAUUAUGAGGAUAGAAUCCCCGAAUACAUUGAUGAUGAUUGGUUUAGUAGACCAGAAAACAUACCAUUGAGUUAUAGACUUAAAUUCUUAAGAAGAAUUAAAAAGAACUUAUUAAAGCUCUUAGAAGAAUCUGAGAAUGAUUCUCAGGACCCUGAAGCUGUUGAUAGCAGUGAUGAAAUUAUAGGAUUAGAUGAUUAUAAUCCUAAUAACUUAUAAGAUUCCGCUUGUUGUAUAUAGGCUGGAAACCAGUAACUAGAACUUCGGUUCGUAUUUCUGGUAUAACAACGCCACGUACAACGUAGUGUUAAAAAUUUGGUAUCAGAGCCUCGUAACGGUUCAAAUUGUUUAUGUUUUCUCGACUUUGUAGAGAAACUAACAUUGCAGAUAUGAGUCAUCCAACUCAAGAAGAAGAAGAUUCAAGCUUCCAACAAGAAGUUUUUGAAGCAGAAGGAAUAUUUGCUCAAGAUGUAACCAUUGACAACAAUAUCCUAGACCAGGUAAGUAAAACAGACUUAUCUUUAAAUUCAGAAGAUGUAUUUAAAUCUUUAAGUACAAUAGCCUCUAUACAGAAUAAGUUAUUUCGUAGAAAGAAUCAUAUUAUUACCUGUAUAGGUACUAGAGAAUAUCCCAUAGAUAUAAAAGAUACUCGUGGUAGUACAGAAAUACCUUUAGUUUUAAAGGAAGAAAUAUCUCAUAAACUUGCUAAGUUUCCACCUGAGAUACGAAAAACAAUUACUUAUAUACACGUAGGUAGUAUAAAAGUUAUGAUGAAAUCUACUUUUAGAGUAGGUAUCAAUAGCGCUGUCAAACUUGCUAUUUUAGAUAGACGUAUGACAGAACCCAAAGAUGCUAUCUUUGGUGCAGUACAAGGAAAUCUAGCUUAUGGUAAGUUAGUAUUUACUUGUAACCCUAAGAUUGGUGUUCCUCUGAACACUAAAAACAUAAAUUCCAUAAUAUGCUUAGCUCAUGAAUUUGAGAGAACAGAUUUGAUGCGUAGCGGUGAUAUGCCCCUUAGUAUCACAUACAAGAUUUGUUAUACCUUAACAAAUAGUCAUCAUUCUAUGAUGUUUAAAAAUAAAGAACCCAUUAGUAUUGAUGGAGUCUUUAAGAAAUUUGGACAAAUAUCCAAUAUUCCCUUCCAGGAGGUUACACCUCUUGAUUCAGUUUGGGCCAUGGACCUGAGUCCUAAACCCUUCUUAGGUUCCCAACCUAAGUUACAAAUUAUGGGAACUCCAAGUUCACAGCUUGGGUUAAGAGACCAUAGACAGAUAAGUAAUCAAUGGAUUACCCAAAAUGAUCAACCAAUCCAAAGGAAAGGAAUUCCUUUAAUGGUUAAUAAAGGUUCAUCUGAAGAGGAUGAAAGACCAACGAUUAUAAAUAAUUGGAGUUAUAAUCCAGGUUGGAAUGAAGGUCAGUCUUCAUUAAAUAAUAACGAAGCUUUAGUUAAAGCCCGUUAUAGGAUGCAUGGUUUACCACCACCAGAACAAGAUAGCCUUACAGCUAUUAGUAAAAGGAUAAAUCAUUUAAGUCUUGAUUUAACAGAUAAAGAAAUAUGAGUAAUCCCCAUCAAGGAAAACCUCAUAUAUUUUAUAACAAAAGAUACAUAGGUUUAAAACACCAGAAUGUAACAGUUAAUCCACCACCAUAUACAUAUCAUGGCGGAAGAGGGAUAGAUGGUUGUCUUAACCAUUUAAAUAAUAUAAAUUCGGUCUUAGGAUCUGUAUUUAUCUUACUCACCAGUCUCAGUAAUGUGUUUGGCUUACCAUCCAAACAAUUUUUUAGUGGGGGGGAUAGUGACAUUGACGACUUCCCAAAACCAUCAAAAAAUCCACAAUUCACUGAUAAUGGAUUGUCUUUGUAGGACAUUGAUUUGUUUGUCUUCAAGGCUUUUGAAAUCUUCUGCAAGUUUAUUAAUAACUUUUUCUAAGCCAUCUAUUUUUCCGGUGGACAUCUUUUCAAACCUUUUGGUCAAUAUUUUGGACAACUGAUAAGAUUUGUUCAAUCUUAAUGGGGUCUAUACCUUUGAAGGUAUUUUCUAGGGAUUCUAAAAAUCCUAACUUUUGUUCCAAAGACUGAAGUCUAAGGUUCAUAUUUUCUAUCAGAACUUUAGUGGUUCUGGCAUCUUUAUCUAUUGUUCCUAAUGUGGUUUGGACAUUAGUAACUAGAUCUUUUAAUCCAUUAUCAGUGAAUUGUGGAUUUUUUGAUGGUUUUGGGAAGUCGUCAAUGUCACUACUAUCCCCCCACUAAAAAAUUGUUUGGAUGGUAAGCCAAACACAUUACUGAGACUGGUGAGUAAGAUAAAUACAGAUCCUAAGACCGAAUUUAUAUUAUUUAAAUGGUUAAGACAACCAUCUAUCCCUCUUCCGCCAUGAUAUGUAUAUGGUGGUGGAUUAACUGUUACAUUCUGGUGUUUUAAACCUAUGUAUCUUUUGUUAUAAAAUAUAUGAGGUUUUCCUUGAUGGGGAUUACUUAUAUUUCUUUAUCUGUUAAAUCAAGACUUAAAUGAUUUAUCCUUUUACUAAUAGCUGUAAGGCUAUCUUGUUCUGGUGGUGGUAAACCAUGCAUCCUAUAACGGGCUUUAACUAAAGCUUCGUUAUUAUUUAAUGAAGACUGACCUUCAUUCCAACCUGGAUUAUAACUCCAAUUAUUUAUAAUCGUUGGUCUUUCAUCCUCUUCAGAUGAAUUUUUAUUAACCAUUAAAGGAAUUCCUUUCCUUUGGAUUGGUUGAUCAUUUUGGGUAAUCCAUUGAUUACUUAUCUGUCUAUGGUCUCUUAACCCAAGCUGUGAACUUGGAGUUCCCAUAAUUUGUAACUUAGAUUAGGAACCUAAGAAGGGUUUAGGACUCAGGUCCAUGGCCCAGACUGAAUCAAGAGGUGUAACCUCCUGAAAGGGAAUAUUGGAUAUCUGUCCAAAUUCCUUAAAGACUCCAUCUAUACUAAUGGGUUCUUUAUUUUUAAACAUCAUAGAAUGAUGGCUAUUUGUUAAAGUAUAACAAAUCUUAUAUGUGAUACUAAGGGGCAUGUCACCACUACGCAUCAAAUCUGUUCUCUCAAAUUCAUGAGCUAAACAUAUUAUAGAAUUAAUGUUUUUAGUGUUCAGAGGAACACCAAUUUUAGGAUUACAAGUAAAUACUAACUUACCAUAAGCUAGAUUUCCUUGUACUGCACCAAAGAUAGCAUCUUUGGGUUCUGUCAUACGUCUAUCUAAAAUAGCAAGUUUGACAGGGCUAUUGAUACCUACUCUAAAAGUAGAUUUCAUCAUAACUUUUAUACUACCUAUGUGUAUAUAGGUAAUUGUUUUUCGUAUCUCAGGUGGAAACUUAGCAAGUUUAUGAGAUAUUUCUUCCUUUAAAACUAAAGGUAUUUCUGUACUACCACGAGUAUCUUUUAUAUCUAUGGGAUAUUCUCUAGUACCUAUAUAGGUAAUAAUAUGAUUCUUUCUACGAAAUAACUUAUUCUGUAUAGAGGCUAUUAUACUUAAAGAUUUAAAUACAUCUUCUGAAUUUAAAGAUAAGUCUGUUUUACUUACCUGGUCUAGGAUAUUGCUGUCAAUGGUUACAUCUUGAGCAAAUAUUUCUUCUGCUUCAAAAACUUCUUGUUGGAAGCUUGAAUCUUCUUCUUCUUGAGUUGGAUGACUCAUAUCUGCAAUGUUAGUUUCUCUACAAAGUCGAGAAAACAUAAACAAUUUGAACCGUUACGAGGCUCUGAUACCAAAUUUUUAACACGACGUUGUACGUGGCGUUGUUAUACCAGAAAUACGAACCGAAGUUCUAGUUACUGGUUUCCAGCCUAUAUACAACAACCGGAAUCUUAUAAGUUACUAGGAUUAUAAUCAUCUAAUCCUAUAAUUUCAUCACUGCUAUCAGCAGUUUCUGGGUCCUGAGAGUCAUUCUCAGAUUCUUCUAAGAGCUUUAACAAGUUCUUUUUAAUUCUUUUUAAGAAUUUAAGUCUAUAACUUAAUGGUAUGUUUUCUGGUCUACUGAACCAAUCAUCAUCAAUGUAUUCGGGGAUUCUAUCCUCAUAAUAAUCAAUCCUUGCUUGGAUUUUAUCUACAAACAUCCUAAGGGUAGGAGUAUGAUAUAAACUUAAACAGUCAAUCUGACUGAUAAUAUUGUCGACUAUUGAAUCCAUACCUGGAUAAUCUUCUUUACUGUGUCGUUUGAGACACUGCCCUUGUCUUUUCGCCAUUAUACGACGCCAACACCAACACUUCUGCCCUUCUCAUCAUCUUCAUACGGGACUUACUUGUGCUAUUCAGGUGCUAUUCAGGCGACUGAAGUAGUAGGCUACUUACAGAAUGCAGGUAGACACUUUAGAAGUUCUUACGAACUUAAGAUAAACAACACAAAGUUGUUAUAUUAAAACUUUCAAAUCCUGUUAAGGAUUUCUUUUAUUGAAAAAUUUGUUACCAGUAGUAGAGGGUUUUCAAACAGGGUUAAGGCUUCAGAAUUAGUCUGAAGAUCUUACAUAGAGAUCAAGGCUCUUUAUAGCCUGAGAGGGUUGAAAGCAAACAAACUAAAUUAUUACAAAUAGUUCCUUUUUUAUCGUGGUAGGGUCCACAUUGAGGUAGCCUGUUACAUCUCGUCGGCUAUCCUUCUCUUUCCUGGUUGGCAGGAAUCGUCAGACAGUGCGUCACCACUGUUGGAGGAGCAGGUCUCCAUCUUUUCGUCUUCAGGACAUAAGUCACAUUUAUGAUCUUCGGUGCCAUAAGCAUAAAAUUUUCUCUUGGUUGAUGCAGAGAUCCCAAGAUCAUUACAGUAGAACUGUCGUUCAAACUUCUGUAUCCUAUGACAAUCUUCUUCACUGAUUGUUUGCAACGAGUCAGUUGCUAGCAGAACAUGAUUGCUCUGAUAAUUAAUUCGAACCUUAGAAUCCACAUAAAGUGAAGUUCUAAUCUUUUUUAACACAAAUCCUAAUGUUUGUGCUCUUAACUCCGGGAGUGCUUGGUGCAGAUAAGGAGUAGGGUUCUUGGAUUCUGUACAUCUAUUUUGUUUCUGAGCAUACCCAUUUUAAUGUAAUGAUAUGCUGGAUAAUUUCUGAGACUAUCGGUCUCAUCUUCUGUCUCUUCCCAAUCAAGGAAAGAACUUUUGAAAGAGAGAUAAACUCUCAUUUCGGGGUCCUGGAGGACCUUCUGGCGGUAAUGUUUUACUGCAACCAGAAUCUUUUGGGGAAGGAGGCUGAUCUCCUUCAGGUUAGGGCUAGGAUAGGCUGCAUUAAGCAGACCACAAUAAAACAAAGUUUGGACAAACUUUGGACUAGCACCUAUAGUUACGUUAAACAAACGUAAUCCUUUUGUUUCACUGAUGAAGUAGUGAUUUUGUUCAUCAGUACAUGUAGACUCUGCAAGAGCAAAGUAAUGAUCAAAGGUUUCCAGAGUGAUGAAUUCAUGGUCAUCAGGGUCUGGUAUCCUAAUUUUGUUGAAACCUAGUAAAGGCUCUGUUUGUGACUGGGUUAGCAGGCAUUUUAGCUUUAUCAGCAAAGGUGUGAUGAGUCUAGGAACAUCAACAGGUGUGAUGAGUCUAGGAACACUUUGGAGGGGUGUAUUGUGUUGGACACAAUAAUCAGUAAAGGCUUUUUGGGCCAAUUCAUAGGACUUAUAGCCCUGAAAUGCAUAAGGCGUACCUGAUACAAGGGGUUGAACUGUCGCCCAUUCUUUGUAGACUCCAGCACGGGGUCCUGAAAAUAUAACAUAACAUUUUUGCGCUUCUAACGCUUUGAAUGGUUCAGAGGCCUUAUAAGCAUCCUCUAUCUUUUUGAUCCCUUGGUCAAGGAUUUUUGGUUUUAAAACCAAAUCUUUUGAACUGGAAGGAGACUGUGAAGUCUGUCCAGUAGUAGCCUUGGCGACUGCCAUCUUUUCAGAAAACCUUUCAAGAAGGCCUUCGGCACUAAAAGGUUUAGAAGCUAACUUACUUCUUUUUUCAGUGAGACGCUCCAGUUUGAGCUUCUUUUCCUGAAUCCUCUUCUCCGUCUUGGCAAUCUUUAUAUCAAGGUCAUUGAUAUCUUCUACUAUGUCUGAUCUCGACAUAUUUCUCCUAACUCUCGUGAGAGAGCGUCUGCAAACACGUUAUUAAUGCCCUCAACGUGUUCGAACUCAAUAUCGAAGUAUUGUAGCCAGAGUUGCCACCUGACUAAUCUUCCUUGUUUAUAAGAACCUGUAAUGUUAGUAUUCAGAAAGAAGAAUACAUGUUUAUUAUCAGUUAUUGCUUUAAAUCUCACUGGGAUGAGAUAUACUUGAAACCGUUUGAUGGUAUUUAUAAGAGCGAGGAGCUCUUUUUCAUUGCUAUGGUAAUUUUGCUCGGCUGGCUUAAAAGUCCCGCUGGCAUAACCACAUAUUAAUUCAGGUCCUUCCUGAGGUUUUGAUUUAAGGAUUCCUCCCCAAUAUUUGUCUGAGGCAUCAGUCUCAAUAAUUAAAGGCUCAUCAGGUCCAGGGUGGUGGACAGGUGGAAGAUGUUUAAUUGCCUUUUGAUUUUGUCAACAUAAGUUGUAUCUUCAUUUGACCAUUGCCAAAUGUCUUUCUUCAAUUUUGCCUGUAGAGGUUGGCGGAUCUGUGCAACCUUUGGACAAAAAUUAGAAAUAUAAUUUAAAAUUCCUAAGAAUCUUUGUAACUGUUUUUUAUCAGUUAUCUUGCUAUCAAAUUCACUAAGGUGAUUACCUAUGUGACUUUGUAACUUAAUUUGUCCUUUGUCAAUUAUUAAUCCGAGGAAAUUAAUACCCUAUUUGAAUAAUUGAGCUUUGGGUAAAGAUAGGAUGACUCAUAUUUCUUUACAUCUAUCUAGAACUUUAGUCACAUGGGUGAUGUGAUCUUUAUCAUUAUUGCUGAACACAAUAAUAUCGUCGACAUAGACACGACAAAAGGAUUCAAAUCCUUUGAAGGUCUCAUCCAUAUGUCUCUGGAAUAUGGAUGGGGCCUGUUUUAAGCCGAAAGGCAUGACUUUCCACUGAAAGUGUCCUUAUGGGCAUGUGAAAGCAGUUAAAGAUUGUGAGCUGUUAUCUAACAGUACUUGCCAAAAUCCACUUUUACAGUCAAAAGAGGAGAAUAGCUUUUUUCCACGAAUCUGAUCUAACAGUUCAUCUUUUCUAGGUAGAAGAUAUCCAUCUCCUAUUGUGUGGUCAUUCAAUUUUUUAUAAUUGAUUACCAUACGUCUUUUUCCACGUUUCUGCUCUGAGUGUUUGUUGACUAAGAAGGCAGGACUAAAGUGUGGAGAUUUACUUGGUUCUAUUAGAUUGGCAUCUAAUAAUUCCUGAAUUUGUUUUGCAAAUUCUUCUCUAUCCGGUGCAGUGUACUGCAUAGGUGGAACCUUUAUUUUAGUUGUUUUAUCAACUAAUUCUAUGUGGGCUCUAAAAUUGUAUUUAGAGAUAUUGUUAUCUAAUGGGUUGUCACUACAAACCAUCUUAAGUUUAUCUUCAAUGGUAGAUAAACUCAUAAGAUUUAAUAAAAAAUCUUCGGAAGGUGAGAAAGUACGGAUACUCUCCCCCAGACUUUUUUGAUCAAAAUCUAAAUUUUGAACAAUAUUUUCGGGUUCAGGAACUUUGGUAUGACUACCAUGUUUCUGAGAAUCUAAGAAACCAGGCUGACCACGAUGAUAAGCCUUAGUUAUUUUAGGGCAAACAACAGUUUGUCCUUCAUGAUGGAAGAUAAUAAUUUUUCCCCAUUGAGCAAAUGGCUCAUAGAGACGACAGAAAUUAUUACCUAGAAGUAUAUCAUACCGGGACUCGGUUUGAUAUAACGUUGGAAUGAUAAAAACCUUAUCCUGGAUAAGGAUUUCUAUACGUUCAGCCACAACAUCUAAUGUGUGGAUAGUAUCAUCUGCUAACUUAGCGUAUAUUGGGUUUGGCGUUUUAGUCCAAAACUGGGGUGGUAUUAUGUUCUUAUUGGCAAGACACAUACUAGCACCAGUAUCUACGUAGCAAUCUACAUUAAGUUUCCUGUAUCCACUAAAGGAUAACGUUCCUCUAAUGUAAAUAGAAUUUACAUGAGUGCGUGUUUGUCUGGCAACACGUCCUAAAUCAAGAAUCUUUUCUUGAGGUAUGGUAGUUAAGUCAGUCCAAAUGACUUGGCUUAAAUCUACAGUUUCUUCUACUUUAUAUAAAGGUAAAGUAUCAUAGUCAAGGAAAUCAUUGAUUUCUUUGUCUAUGAGUUGUUCUAACUCAUUAUUGGGUUCUAAGCACGAGGUAGUGCUAUCUUUCAGAAGUAGGUCCCAUCCUUCUUCUGUUUCUAACUCUUGAUCCGAGAUAUCAGAGCUUGUCUCUGAAUAGUCAUCGGUGUCACAUUCACUAUCAGACUCUAAAUAAAAGAGUUCUUCGUCACUAGUGACAUCAUCUAAGGUUUCUAGCGGAGCUAGAUUGUAUUGUUCUAGAGCUUCUUCUAGAAAUAUUUCUUCAAAGGCCUUGGCAUGGGCUUUUGAUGAUUUGGUGUUUGGACAUUCAUAACUCAUAUGUCCAAUUUCUUGGCAAAUCCAACAUUUGCAUGUUUUCUUUUUCUAUGGACAGAAUUUUUGUUUAUCCUGUUGGGAUAUUUCUUUGGGCUCAUCAUUGAGUCCUUUAAGGUCUUUAUAGUUUUUUCUUUUGAAAAAACAUUUCUUUCUACCUUGGUGUCCAAAGUAUUUUUUAUACCGUUUCGGGUUUUUGUAAUACUUUUUCUUUUUAGGUUUUCUAAACCUAUAUUUCUUCUUAAUCUUUUUCUUCCAUUUUUUAAUUUGUGGAAUAGUUUGACAACCAUACAUGGUUUCUGGUCCUUGGAAUUCAGGACAACAAAGAUUAAUUUUCUUUGUUCUUUUGAGUAACUGACGUUCAGUACAUAUUUUAGUUAGUUUCUUUUUAACUAUAUUUUUAGCAACCAUUAAACUUAGUUUGCUAAUGGGUGGCAAGGCUUGAUAUUCUUCAAGACUUUCUUUUCCUAUGUAAGGAAUCUUUCUAAGGUAUCCUUCAAUGUAACUAAUCCAUUCAGUAUUAGGUACACUUAACAGGGCUUCCUCAUAAUCACAAGUGAACUGGUCUAAAUAACACAGAUCACAAAUCUGUAUCUUAGUCAUGCGUUCCCUAGCUUCUUCUUGUUUUAUCCUAACUUGAUUUUCACCAUCGUUAAGAUAGUUUGUUCCUAGGAAUACUGUUGACAAUAGAUUCACUAUAUUUUGGAGAAAAUCUUCAGAAGAUCCUCUCAUAAAUUCUUCCUUAUUGAUUCCUUCAAUAAGAUCAUUGGCCAUGUAUCAAUUUGAAUGUGUCCUGUUGACAAUUGAUUCCUCCCAACCUGCAUUAAUACACACACACACACACACAGAGACACAUACAUCAUACAUGUAUCAAUUGCUGUCCGAAGCAGUAGCAAAGACUUUUAUCAUUUUGCAGCCAAUUAUAGAAGAUCAGUGAUCAGUAGCUGUUUAGUUCUGCAAUGACCAAUGCUCGUUCACUUCAAAUAUGAGCAGUUAAUACUUUGCUUAAGGUUGCAAUGUUGGAUGAGUAAAUAAAUUGAAGGAAAAUAUUGAACUAGGAGUGGCAGAGCACCGGGUCACUUAGGCAGCACUAGAAGAGGCAUUUAUUUGGAAUAAAAAUGGCUAUGAGAUUUAGGCAGCACUGCUCAUCAAUGGUCAAAGAUAUGAUUAGUGGAAGAUCAUAUUUAUUUGUUUUAACUUACAAGAACUGCUUGUGCACCAAGGGCCAGCGCCUUGAAAACAUCUGUUCCUCGCCGUACUCCUCCAUCAAGGAGAACAGGAACUCUCCUUCCUACAGCUUGAACCACCUGCAAAAAAAGUACAUUUCCGUGUCAAUUGAAAUGUCUAGAUAAGGAGUAUAAUUUAGACUGUCUGCAUUCGGUGAAAUGAUUCUACCUCUUCCAGAACUGAGAUUGUGGCUGGAGUAUAAUCAAGCUGACGAGCUCCAUGAUUGGAGACGAUAAUCCCAGCAGCACCUACUUCCAUGGCUUUAAUGGCUGCAAAAUAACCUCCACUGUGUAAAGGAUCUAGCUUACAUAUUCCAGAUACCAUUAUGUUGGCUGAGCAAUGACAGAUAAUUUCAAAGAGAGUAUAAGAGUGUUCAAAUGUUUCAAGAUCAAGAAGAACAAUAGACUACGGAGUGAAACAAACAUCAUCAGAUAAGACUUUGAUCUUACCAUCCUCUCGAGUGAGUAUUCCCUUGAUCAGAAUCGGCAAGUUUGUAGUGGAUUUUAGCCAUGCUAUAUCCUGCUGGGGUAACGAAGCACUGGUUAAAUAUAGGAAUUUUUAUAAUGGUUUAUGUUAUGUAAGAAUGGUGCUUAGCCAGGGUUAUAAUCAAUAAGGCUUCAAAAUAAAGUCCAUGAAUCAGCCAACUAAACCGCAUUGCUUUCAGAAUUGGUUAUGACAACUGGCUCUAUACUCAACUCUUCUAUUGAGUGGGCAUCUCAUGCAGGCGUACAGAACAGCCUGAAAAUAAGGGUAUGAUAAAUAAAUCGCAAGGUAAUUAAAUAGGAGUUUACUGGUUUUUACCCUCCAACACAAAGAAGGAUCCAUGGUUUCAUUGGCGUAAGCUUCGAAGUUGGAACCCUUAACCUGCAAGAGUUCACAUCUGUAAGUCUUGAAACGAAGGAAUAAAAAACGGAAACAACCACUCCACAUUGAAAGGCCAAAAAUUAAAAUCUAUGUGAAUCAAUGCUUGGGUUUCAUAUGAAAGAUUCCUUUAAAUGAACACAAGUUUGAUGCCCAUUUCAAUAAUUUACUCACAGACACAACUUCAGUUGACAUAAGACCUUCCAAAUUCUUCAGCUGGGGCACAAUCAGUCUGCAGAAGCAUGACAGAUGAAUUCAUUUUGGGAUGCAAGUGCAUAUAUCUUUAAAAACAUGCAUUUUUGUUUUGUGUGGAAACAAAGAUAGAAUUGUAGUUACAAUCAACAUUAAACUAAUUAAUGUCACAUUCCACCACCAAAUGAAGUGGUUUAGAGCAUUUAAAACAAGCUGUAAUAGCUCUUAAAUCCCUAUAAUUUUAUACAGAAUGAGAGAGGAAGAAAUGAUAUCUACUUAUUCUUUAUGUCUGCCUCCCUUCGACCAAGUCUUGGAGUGUCAGCUGUUAGGACGAUAGCCUUAUAUCCACUCUUUUCAGCUCUCUGCACAAGGUUAACAGCUAUAUCUCGUCUUUUGUAUACCUAAUCACACGCAGAAGAGUACAUGCUUACAGUUUAGUUCCCAUAUUCCUAUUCAUGUUAGCACCACAGCAGAGUUGCCUCAUUGAAGAAAUGAAAUAAACCUUUCUAAUAGCACUUAUAAGUGUCAUAGAAAAUGUGAAAGAAUCCUGCUAAAAGUUGUUUCUGUUGCACUACAAAAGAGAGUUGAGAGAAUACUUUUGUCACUUUUAAAAUUAAAAGAGAGACUACUAAAAAAAAGGAGCAUAUGGAGGUCUAAUUACAUAUAAUUGAAAGAAUCGAACAGCAUCGCAACUGGCAGCAACCUCCUCCACGCUGCAGGAAGAUGAAGGAUAAAGUCUGGAAAGAAAUAAACCCAUUAUCCAAGCAUGUAAAGCAAAAUGGAAAAAAUAUAAGGCUGAAUGUUCCUCAUAUGUACCAUUAUAGUAUUACAUGCAGCUGCUGCUCUGGCAGUGGCAAGCUCUCCUGGGGAUAGACGGAAAAGCUGGUAAAAGCAGGAUGAAGAAUGAAUGUACAAACUAAUAACUCUUCAGUCAGAGGAUAAGACCUUCAGGAUGUGCUAGCUUAUGCAUAGAAGUUGGGGCUAUCAUAAUCGGCGCCGAGAUAGUGUAGCCCAAUAUAUUAGUAGACAAAGCUAUGUUGCUCACAUCCACAAGAACUCUAGGCAGCAAUCUGAGUAAAAGCGGUAUGUUAAAUUUCAUGUCCUUUACUAUACUCGAAUCGGGAAAUAGUUUCAAGGCAUUACAUGAUUCUCUGAAAUUCUUGUACAUUCUUCUUUAAUGUGUGCUCAUCCUCUGCUCCUCCAGCAUAGAAGUCAUAGUACAUUUUUGGAAGGGCUUGCCUAGCCAAUUCUUGGAACUCAUUCACGUUAACUAUUUCAUCUGCCAUUUAACCUGGAAACUUGGAUCACAGUCAAAUGUCUUGCUUUACAGCACUUUUAGAAGCCUAAGCUCCAGUAAAAAUCAUAAAUAGACUAGGGAACACAUAAAUUGUAUAUAUAUAUAUAUAUAUGUGUGUGUGUGUGUGUGUGUGUGUGUGUGUGUGUGCAAGUUCGAGUGAACUAUCUCAAACCAAUUAUGCUUUCUUAACACAGGGUAUAAACUGUUUGAAACGCUAAAACAUGCGAGACUGUCACGAAAAUAACAAACUGUUUCCAUUCAAGAUCACAGGGUAAUCAAGAAGCUUAACUGCAAGAAAAACAGGUUGUGCUGAUGCCCCAGCUAAGAAAACAAAGAAAACUGCAGGAAAAACAUACCUACAGUAGUAGAAAGCUCCAGGGAAACAGAGAAGGAUUGAAACAGGUAUUGCCAAUCAAGUGGUAUCAAGAAGAGUGAAGAACAGGUACUGUCGUCUUUCAUCAAGUCUUCGUCUGCCAGCGAAAGGUACCUUCUUUCUCUCUCCAUAUGACUACCCUAUUUUGUCAUUUCUUUUCAUUAUGGUAUCAGGAAAAUGAUAUAUGGUGGAACAUCCACUUAAGAUUGAGAUCGACUUUUGCAUUUUCCCUUCUUUUUUAUUCAUUCAUUUAUUUAUUUUUCUAAUAUUGCUUGGUGCUGUCUUUUUUACUUACAAAGAUGCCUUUAUGCAGAGGUAACACCCAGAAGUAAUAAGGAAUAGCCUUCUUUAUUAAUCUACCCGAAUACACUGAUAUGAAAGCUUUGCUUUUAAAAUCUUUUGAAAAGAAUACGAUGAAGGUAUAAAAACUUCAAAUUAGAUUUUAGUUUUUUUAAAUUGUCUCAUGAACUGAAAUAAAUGUAUGGGCUUAAAUGUGAAUUUUAUCUUUAAAUUUAGAAUUAUAUAAAAUUAGCUCGUGUAUCAUGGAGUUCCAAUUUGAGUAAUCAUGAAAAGUAAUUUCUUUGCUUCACAGGUAAGCUGAAAAAAUAAAUUGUUGAUUGUUAUAUUUUAUUAUACUACUGUGAAAAAAAUUAACGCGAUAAUUGACAUGAAAUGUUAGGAUUGACUUUUGUUAUAUUUUAUAUUAUAACCUAUUAGAUUGAGAUAUUUCCUGAUAUGAUAUUAGAGUUUUGAUAAUCAAGCGAUUACAAGUUUGAAUCUUAUUAUUUUUAUUCAAGUUCAAAAAGUUUUUAUCUAAAAGAGUGUAUUAAAGAAUAAUAUAAAGUAUAUUUUAAAACAUCACUUAAUAAUUUAAGUUAUUAAAUUAAAAUAGUUCUUUGAUAGUUAUAAUAAAAAGAUGUAUAUCAUUUAUUUUUUUUGUUAUUAAUAUGAGUGUUAUGGUCAGUUUAUGCAUAUCUCGACUAAUCUCACAGAACUUGAAAUUAAUGACUAUUUAAAUCUCCAGUAGCUCUGAGAUUUGUGGAACUCGAAUUGAUAAUUUUUAAAGAAUAAAUUUAAAAUCUAAUUACUUAAAUUAUACCAAUCAUAUUAGACGUGUAUCAUUCUUAUUAUUGGUGAUUGUUAUUAAAUAGCAAACUAGGUGCCGUAAUGACAAUUCAUGCGAUCUCAGUCGACAUUAGUGGAUGGUUGCUCUACGCCUCCUAACAAGUCACAUGUCCAAAAUUUAUGCAAGUUCGAGUGAACUAUCUCAAACCAAUUAUGCUUUCUUAACACAGGGUAUAAACUAUUUGAAACGCUAAAACAUGCGAGACUGUCACGAAAAUAACAAACUGUUUCCAUUCAAGAUCACAGGGUAAUCAAGAAGCUUAACUGCAAGAAAAACAGAUUGUGCUGAUGUCCCAGCUAAGAAAACAAAGAAAACUGCAAGAAAAACAUACCUACAGUAGUAGAAAGCUCCAGGGAAACAGAGAAGGAUUGAAACAGGUAUUGCCAAUCAAGUGGUAUGAAGAAGAGUGAAGAACAGGUACUGUCGUCUUUCAUCAAGUCAUCGUCUGCCAGCGAAAGGUACCUUCUUUCUCUCUCCAUAUGACUACCCUAUUUUGUCAUUUCUUUUCAUUAUGGUAUCAGGAAAAUGAUAUAUGGUGGAACAUCCACUUAAGAUUGAGAUCGACUUUUGCAUUUUCCCUUCUUUUUUAUUCAUUCAUUUAUUUAUUUUUCUAAUAUUGCUUGGUGCUGUCUUUUUUACUUACAAAGAUGCCUUUAUGCAGAGGUAACACCCAGAAGUAGUAAUAAGGAAUAGCCUUCUUUAUUAAUCUACCCGAAUACACCGAUAUGAAAGCUUUGCUUUUAAAAUCUUUUGAAAAAGUACAAUGAAGUUAAAAAAACUUCAAAUUAGAUUUUAGUUUUUUAAAUUGUCUCAUGAACUGAAAUACAUGUAUGGGCUUAAAUGUGAAUUUUAUCUUUAAAUUUAGAAUUAUAUAAAUUAGUCGUGUAUCAUGGAGUUGCAAUUUGAGUAAUCAUGAAAAGUAAUUCCUUUGCUUAACAGGUAAGCUGCUGAAAAAAUAAAUUGUUGAUUGUUAUAUUUUAUUAUACUACUGUGAAAAAAAUUAACGCGAUGAUUGACAUGAAAUGUUAGGAUUGACUUUUGUUAUAUUUUAUAUUAUAAAAUUAUUAGAUUGAGAUGAUUUUUUUACAUGAUAUCAGAGUUUUAAUAAUCAAGCUGUUACAAGUUUGAAUCUUAUCACUCCUAUUUUAUUUUAAUAAAAAUUAAAUAUAAAAUAAUAUGAACCUAUGCAAGUUUCAAGUUCAAAAGGUUUUUAUCUAAGUGAGUGUAUUAGAGAAUAAUAUAAAUUAUUUAUUUUAACCUCACUUAAUAGUUUAAGCUAUUAAAUUAAGAUAAUUCUUUGACAGUUAUACUAAAAAGAAUAUUAUAUAUAUAUAUAUAUAUAUAUAUAUAUAUAUCAUUUAUUUUUUUUAUUAUUAAUGUAGGUGUUAUGGUCAGCUUAUGCGUAUCUCAACUAAUCUCAUUGACCUCGAAAUUAACGACUAUGUAAUCCUGCAGUAGCUCUGAGGUUUAUAGGACUUGAAUUGAUAAUUUUUAAAAAGUAAAUCUAAAAUCUAACUAGUUAAAUUAUAUCAAUCAUAUUAGACGUAUAUCAUUUUCAUUAUUGGUGAUUGAUAUUAAAUAGCAAACUAGGUGCCGUAAUGACCAUUCAUGUGAUCUCAGUCGACAUUAGUGGAUGCCUAACUAGUCACAUGUCCAUAAUUUAUGUCAAGUGCUUAGGCAGCGUGAGAGUGCAGAAAUUAGAGAGUUGAAUGGUUGUGAGCAUGCAUGGCAAAGGUUUUUUCUCUCUCGCUCUCUUUUCUUUUCUUUCCUUUUUUUUACCCCUUUGCAUUGCAUUCUAUCGACCAAGUAAAUUUAAGGACUGAAUGGUAAAGCUGUGAAGGAAUAAAGGACUGAAAUGGAGAAAAGAAGGGAAAAAAUUGUUUGCGGAUAUAAUACACAUGAGAGCAGGUGGACAAGCCGCCAUAGCGUCCUUGUGUUGACGAAUUUGUUUUGAUAAGACUUUUCGAUGAUAUUGUUGAAAAUGCUCUGUGGCGGCAUCCCCUCAUUUCUUUCUUCCUUCCUUUUUUUUUUUUUUUUUUUCUCUUCUUACCAUGUUGUUAUUCAUUUCUCCUUCCCUUUGCAGAGCAGGGUUGUCUCCUUUCCUUUUAAAAAAAUAAUCCUAGUCGAUGCAAUAGUUAGUUCAAAGAUAACUAUAUAUAAAAAAAUUAAAUUUAUUGUUGAAAUUCUAAAAUCAUCAAACUUCAAGGUCAUUCUUGAGUGCACUAAGCCAUUGUUCCAUGAAGAAUAGACUUGUAUUUAGUAAUGUAAGAAUUUGAUCCAAACUAUUGUACCAUGAAGAAAAUUUUGAUGAAUUCUCGAGAGCUAUAUAUAUAACCGAACCCAAUAUUCAAAAUAAACCAAGUUCCACAGAAACCUGUCCUAAUGAGAAGAAACAUCCUGACAAAGCUCGAUCUAUUGAGCCACUGAAGUGGAAAAUAUUGAACCCUUGCACAGUAGUGGAAAGUUUCAGAAGGUAUGGUCUUCGUUCCAGCCUUCUUGGGUUGGGAGGCCACUCCUCUCUCCUUGGGCUACAAGGCCCACCUCUCUCCUCUCUCCUCUGCUCACGUCCCUCCCUUGAUUCAUGCACAAAUUUGCAAUCGUGACCGUAA